This 500-nucleotide ribosomal RNA is filed under the name uncultured bacterium. RNAcentral's name for it is "partial 16S ribosomal RNA". It matches the Rfam family "Bacterial small subunit ribosomal RNA", at positions 30 to 523 of the family's 1533-position model. The record is from RNAcentral.
AUUGAACGCUGGCGGCAUGCCUUACACAUGCAAGUCGAACGGCAGCACGGGAGCAAUCCUGGUGGCGAGUGGCGAACGGGUGAGUAAAGUAUCGGAACGUGCCCAGUCGUGGGGGAUAACGUAGCGAAAGUUACGCUAAUACCGCAUACGAUCUAUGGAUGAAAGCGGGGGAUCGCAGGACCUCGCGCGAUUGGAGCGGCCGAUAUCAGAUUAGGUAGUUGGUGGGGUAAAGGCUCACCAAGCCGACGAUCUGUAGCUGGUCUGAGAGGACGACCAGCCGCACUGGGACUGAGACACGGCCCAGACUCCUACGGGAGGCAGCAGUGGGGAAUUUUGGACAAUGGGCGAAAGCCUGAUCCAGCCAUGCCGCGUGCAGGAUGAAGGCCUUCGGGUUGUAAACUGCUUUUGUACGGAACGAAAAGGUUUGGCCUAAUAAGCUGAGCUCAUGACGGUACCGUAAGAAUAAGCACCGGCUAACUACGUGCCAGCCGCCGCUGUAA